Ornithodoros turicata is the source of this 358-nucleotide long non-coding RNA. RefSeq lists it as uncharacterized. The transcript is spliced from 3 exons. NCBI's taxonomy places the organism in Eukaryota, Metazoa, Arthropoda, Arachnida, Ixodida, Argasidae. The record is from RefSeq and is a predicted model, not a curated record.
CAAGGACAGCACCCCAUCGGCAGUAGAUCACACACAGCAAGCAGGGGCUUCUCGUACUGGCACACUAGCACUUUCAGUUGGAGCAGAGGAAAAUGGGCUGGUCCAUGCAGGCCACAACAUUUGGCUGGACAAGACUGUCUGGGAGAAACUUAUGUCUUCGUCAAAGGACUCGCUCUUUGUAAAGGACAGUGCUGUGGCCAUUUGGUCGACCGAGCAAUUAGCACGCCGCAGCGUGACUGGAAAGCUGUCCAACAGGCACACUGCAGAAGGCAAGACAGCACAGAGCCCCCUGACACCUCAGAAGCUGAAAGCCAUUCACUGUAUGUUCGACUACUACGCGAGGAUGAAUGGUGCUGGC